AUGACACUUGCAUCUCUCUUAUGCUUUAUAAGAUAUAUAUAACGGAAUCUGCUUGAAUGCUGGCAAGAAACAUGAGGUGACAACAGGUGACGGUACCCGAACACAUUUCUAACCUCUCUUGGUCAAGUUAUUUGGGCAAUCCACGGCCGCAUCCUUAUAUAGGAAUAGCAAGUAACAUUGGGCAAAUCUUGAUGUCCUUGAGAGAGAGAGAGAGAGAGAGAGAGUUGGUGGGGGGGAGGAGAGGGUUAUAACCUUCCUGAUUAAAAUAAUUCGAUCAUCACCGAACAUGUGACCUAUGAGAGAGAUGGUACUGUGCGCAUGACCAAGAUUACGUGUCGGCCUGUGAUUGGUUAGGGGUAGGAAGGGAGGAGGGGGGGUAGAGGGGCCGAUAGGAGUCUUCAUAGAUAGACGGUGAGAUAAUGGGAUGAUUAAUGGUUUUUGUACAAUUGUUUACGUAGCGUACGAAUUGAAAUUGUUUAUUUACUGAGAUCAUAAUGUUUGCUCGAGAUUUUAAAUUGUGCUUGGUGGCUCGAGAAUUGAUAAGCAUAUUGACGGGAAGUUAGGUGCUACGAAAGAGAGAGUGUGGUUAUACCGAGUUAGACUCCGGUUUUACUGUGUACAUACAUGCAUAUAUACACUUAUACUUAUACAUACUGUGCAUAUAUAUAUUAUUUAUUCAUUCAAAUAAAUAAUAUAUAAAUAAUAUAUAUUAUAUGUGUGUCAAAUAUAGUCACUUCAGCAGGGGUAACUGGAGUUACAGCGUGACUGACCGACAAUUCUGUGAUAAUGAGCAAUGAUGAGUGAUGCCCUGAAUAGAAUCAAGUAGCUUUAUCAUCGCAAGCCUUUUGACAAGUCAUUGUCAAAGCCUUUGUCAAAGGUCACACUAUUAAUAUUAAAUAUGAGUUGCCGAGUAGAAAAAAUUUGAUGAGCGAAUGCAGAGUAGGAGGUCACGGCUACUGUAGGCCUAUGUUGGCAUCUUUGAAGUAAGCAUUUCAGAAGGAAUAAAGCCUAACCAGACUUACCUUUAUCUAAUCUGGUCGGAAGGAGGGGGGCGAACCCCCCAAGUAAAUUCUGACCCCCUACUCUGCAUUGUACCGAAGUGUGUGAAUGAAUUUGAGUAACUGAAUGGAAUGGCAACUUAUCGGUAAGAGUUAAUGGAAAUAUUUUUGAAAUGUGAUAAGGGAAGGAAUGCCAAUAGGUUAGUGAAGAGAUGAACAGUGAAUAGAAUAGCCAUACUAGUAUGAAAAUGAACGGUGUAGUGUGAAUAACUACAAUGAUGAACAAUUCAUAUUCGACACUUAACGAAAAAAGUGACGACAUGAAGGAUGAAAGUGUGAAAGGAAACAGUAGAAGUGUGAAUACAAAAUGUGAUGCUAAUUUGAGAGUGAAUAAAGUUACCUUCGUCACUGAACGGUGGAGGUCAAUUUGAUUAUAAACAAUGACGCUUGAAUUACAGGCCCUAGAGCAGAAGAGAAAAUAUAGAGUUUAGGUCAAGUACUGGGACCUACGAGGUCAUUCAGCGCUGAAACGAAAUUGAUAGUGAAAAGGCUUGAAGGGUGUAACAGGAGAAUAACCUCGCAGUUGCACUAAUAAAAAAAUUGUUAGGAAAGGAUGGAUGAAAGAGAAUAUGAACAGAGGUACACUAAAAGGAAUGAAAGGGGUUAAGCUAAGGGCCGAAGGGACACUGUUAAAAACCUUAAGUAAUGCAUACAGUGUACCGCAUGAGGUGCACUGACGGCACUAUUCCCUACAGAGAUUAGAGGGUGAAAGGUCAAAAAAAAAAAAAAAAAAAAACACGUUGAAAGCUGAUGGUUUUGGUAAAGCAGUUAAUACAAAUAUCAGUGUCAUUAGAAAAAAAAGUUCAUUGCUAAAGGAAAACAUGGUCACAUAUAUGUUAGGUUUGUUUGACAGUAAUGCUUUAAGCUUAGGUGGACAAAUAUCUCAAGCUAAAAGUGAAUUAUUAUUAUUAUUAUUAUUAUUAUUAUUAUUAUUAUUAUUAUUAUUAUUAUUAUUAUUAUUAUUAUUAUUCGGAAGAUGAACCCUAUUUAUAUGGAACAAGCUCACAAGGGCCACGGAUCUGAAAUUCAAGCUUCAAAAAAAUAUGGUGUUCAUUAAGAAGAUUUCUUGUAAGACUAGGUAAGGGGAGAUACAAAAAGGAACUCUCGCUCAUUGAAAAAAAAAGGAAAAUAAAUGAAUAAAUAUUAAAAAUAACUUGCUAAAAUGCAAGGAUAAUAGUAUUAGGUUAGUAAUACAUUAAUACUAAAGUAGACAGGUUCAAAAUUGUGAUCUAAGGUAAUGGUACAUUUGGCAGUAAAUGUUGUAGCGAUGGAGAACGGUUCAGUUGUAAAUGUAAAACAAAAUAAUAUACAGAUAAUAGUAGUGAGAUGACAGUUGUCAAGUACAAAACCGCCACAAUGUUGAAUGUAUGAAUGUGAGAUAUUCGAAGCGGCUCUAACAUGACGUGUUCAUGAAUGACAUAUUAACAUCAACCAAAGAGACGUUGCUCUUAAUGAGGAGAAAGAAUUUGCCAAAGCAUGAAGCGGAGGCGGUAGAGUUGAGGCCUGAAUCAAUGAUAAGCGAUUAAGAUAGGAAAACGUGUGUGUGUGUGUGUGAGAGAGAGAGAGAGAGAAGGCUGAUCAGCACUGGCGCCACUGCAGAAUAUUGUCAUGAAACUUUUAGUAGUGAAGAUGACUAAAUAAAGUUCAGCAGAUGCAAGGAAAGGAAACUUGAGUAUAAGGCAAAACAGAGAUGUUGGCACUCGCACAAGUGUCAAACAUUACUGCAAAAACAAGUUUUCCUUGCGAUCACCAUUUGAGUGUUUCUCCAGCCAUUAGCUGAAUGUUCUCCUCAUUAGCUGAGUAUUUAUCUUCUCCCUAGAUGGCGUAUGGAGUAGUCUUUCAAGCACAUUCUUUUUAAAGAGUAAAUCUUGAAAACUCCAUCUUUGGGGCUCAGUAGGUCUAGAGUUUUACGAGAGUGGUCAGUAAGUCUUAGAGUUUUAAGAGAGUGCUCAGUGGGUCUAGUUUUAAGAGAGUGCUCAGUAGUUUAGAGUUUUAAAAAGAGUGCUCAGUAGGUCUAGUUUUAAGAUAGUGCCCAGUAGGUAGGUCUAGUGUUUUAAGAGAAUUACUCACGGGAUCACAACACGACUUCGAACAGAACUGACGAAGUGAAGGUCAAAAUAAAGUGAAGGGGCGGAUUAAAGGCUUCACGUACCCGAUGGCGUAGCUGAUACCAAAAAACCAGUGCACGAGCCCCUGUGGUUUUGACAUCGGAGUCACACGAUAGUCAGACUACUCCAUUCUAGUGGAGUAGACUGAGGGCGAGGCUGUAGAUAAGAUAGCAGUCGUAUGAUCGUGGAUCAGGCACCAAAGAUAAAAGCAACGAUUCAUACCAGAAUGGAAAAAGAGCGAGAUAAAUAAUGACGAUUAGAUUAGAAACAUUAAAAUGUGAGUUACAAAAAAAAAAAAAAAAA
This is a long non-coding RNA of Macrobrachium nipponense, 3469 nucleotides long. RefSeq lists it as uncharacterized. Lineage: Eukaryota; Metazoa; Arthropoda; Malacostraca; Decapoda; Palaemonidae. The transcript has 2 exons. The record is from RefSeq and is a predicted model, not a curated record.